RNAcentral lists this ribosomal RNA (253 nucleotides) under uncultured bacterium. RNAcentral describes it as "partial 16S ribosomal RNA". It matches the Rfam family "Bacterial small subunit ribosomal RNA", at positions 524 to 776 of the family's 1533-position model. The record is from RNAcentral.
UACAGAGGGUGCAAGCGUUGUUCGGAAUUACUGGGCGUAAAGCGCGUGUAGGCGGCUUGGCAAGUCCUGUGUGAAAGCCCUGGGCUCAACCCAGGAAGUGCGCAGGAUACUGCUGAGCUGGAGUAGCGGAGAGGAUGGCGGAAUACCCGGUGUAGAGGUGAAAUUCGUAGAUAUCGGGUGGAACACCUGUGGCGAAGGCGGCCAUCUGGACGUUCACUGACGCUGAGACGCGAAAGCGUGGGUAGCAAACAGG